Molecule: ribosomal RNA, 273 nt
Filed under: Nonlabens ulvanivorans
Lineage: Bacteria; Pseudomonadati; Bacteroidota; Flavobacteriia; Flavobacteriales; Flavobacteriaceae
Source: RNAcentral
UAAGGUGGUUAUAGCGAUGGGGCUCACCUCUUACCAUUCCGAACAGAGAAGUUAAGCCCAUUUGCGCAGAUGGUACUGCUUUAUUGUGGGAGAGUAUGUCGCCGCCUUCUUUUAAGUCCUUACUAAGUAAUUAGUAAGGACUUUUUUUAUACCCUUUUUUUAAAUUUUAUAUUCAAUUUUGGUUAAUGUGCUAGAUGUUCAUUAGCCUUUUCUUGUGAUAUUUACUAUUAUAAACUUUAGCAGUGCUCAUUAGAUGGCUUUUGUAUAUAAGGU